This 400-nucleotide ribosomal RNA is filed under the name uncultured bacterium. RNAcentral describes it as "partial 16S ribosomal RNA". It matches the Rfam family "Bacterial small subunit ribosomal RNA", at positions 360 to 776 of the family's 1533-position model. The record is from RNAcentral.
AAUAUUGCACAAUGGGCGCAAGCCUGAUGCAGCAACGCCGCGUGCGCGACGAAGGCCUUCGGGUCGUAAAGCGCUUUUCGGGGAGAUGAGUACGGACAUUAUCCCCGGAAGAAGGAUCGGCUAACCACGUGCCAGCAGCCGCGGUAAAACGUAGGAUCCGAGCGUUAUCCGAAUUCACUGGGCGGAAAGCGCAUGCAGGCGGCCGGACAAGUUGGAUGUGAAAGCUACACGCUCAACUGGGAGGGGACGUUCAAAACUGUGCGGCUCGAGGGCGGUAGAGGAAGGUAGAAUUCCCGGUGUAGUGGUGAAAUGCGUAGAUAUCGGGAGGAAUACCCGUGGCGAAGGCGACCUUCUGGACCGUUUCUGACGCUCAGAUGCGAAAGCUAGGGGAGCGAACGGG